This 43-nucleotide ribosomal RNA is filed under the name Schizophyllum commune. RNAcentral describes it as "partial 28S ribosomal RNA". Lineage: Eukaryota; Fungi; Basidiomycota; Agaricomycetes; Agaricales; Schizophyllaceae. RNAcentral also lists the same sequence under 8 other names. The record is from RNAcentral.
GACCUCAAAUCAGGUAGGACUACCCGCUGAACUUAAGCAUAUC